RNAcentral lists this transfer RNA (77 nucleotides) under Rhodoferax sp. Its description in RNAcentral is "tRNA-Met". It matches the Rfam family "tRNA". From Rfam's summary of the family: Transfer RNA (tRNA) molecules are approximately 80 nucleotides in length. Their secondary structure includes four short double-helical elements and three loops (D, anti-codon, and T loops). Further hydrogen bonds mediate the characteristic L-shaped molecular structure. tRNAs have two regions of fundamental functional importance: the anti-codon, which is responsible for specific mRNA codon recognition, and the 3' end, to which the tRNAs corresponding amino acid is attached (by aminoacyl-tRNA synthetases). tRNAs cope with the degeneracy of the genetic code in two manners: having more than one tRNA (with a specific anti-codon) for a particular amino acid; and 'wobble' base-pairing, i.e. permitting non-standard base-pairing at the 3rd anti-codon position. Lineage: Bacteria; Pseudomonadati; Pseudomonadota; Betaproteobacteria; Burkholderiales; Comamonadaceae. RNAcentral also lists the same sequence under 30 other names. The record is from RNAcentral.
GGUGGUAUAGCUCAGUUGGUUAGAGCGCAGCAUUCAUAAUGCUGAUGUCGGUGGUUCAAGUCCACCUACCACCACCA